GACGAACGCUGGCGGCGUGCUUAACACAUGCAAGUCGAACGGAAAGGCCCUGCUUUUGUGGGGUGCUCGAGUGGCGAACGGGUGAGUAACACGUGAGUAACCUGCCCUUGACUUUGGGAUAACUUCAGGAAACUGGGGCUAAUACCGGAUAGGAGCUCCUGCUGCAUGGGGGGGGUUGGAAAGUUACGGCGGUUGGGGAUGGACUCGCGGCUUAUCAGCUUGUUGGGGGGGUAGUGGCUGACCAAGGCUUUGACGGGUAGCCGGCCUGAGAGGGUUAACGGCCACAUUGGGCCUGAGGUACGGCCCAGACUCCUACGGGCGGCAGCAGUGGAGAAUAUUGCACAAUGACCGGACGCCUGAUGCAGCAAUGCCGCGUUCGGGAUGACGGCCUUCGGGUUGUAAACAGCUUUCGACUUUGACGUAGAGUGAGUGACGGUAAUGAGUAAAGAAGCACCGGCUAACUACGUG
Molecule: ribosomal RNA, 468 nt
Filed under: uncultured bacterium
Lineage: Bacteria
Description: partial 16S ribosomal RNA
Rfam family: Bacterial small subunit ribosomal RNA
Source: RNAcentral